Molecule: long non-coding RNA, 3032 nt
Organism: Papio anubis (olive baboon)
Lineage: Eukaryota; Metazoa; Chordata; Mammalia; Primates; Cercopithecidae
Source: Ensembl
GUGAUAUAUAAGAUAUAUAUAUAUAUCUCUAAUAUGUUAUGUAUUAAGAAUUAUUCACUAUGCCACAAACUAUAGAUACAAAAGGAGUAUCUCUAGGGAAAGCCAAAAAAAAAAAAAAAAACACGGAAAGAAAGCAGGCUAGCAGAAGCUUCAAAAUAUCAAAAACUCUCUUACUGUGUGGCAAUAUAAACUAAAAACUAAUUCUCAAAAUCAUGGAGCUAGAAAAAAGAAUCAAGACAACCAAAAAAUAUGGUUAAUAAAAAUGAAGACAGAAGACAUAAAGAUGAUUAUGAGAACCAGGGUCUUUUCAAACAGGAGGUGAAAAAGGAUUGAGGAGAUGGACAUGGCAAUGAAGAAGAACUUAAUUUGCACACAGUCAACAGAGGGGGCAGGAGGACCAACACAGCUGCAGUUCUGCCACAUUAUUUAUUUUGGAAUUCCCAGACUGUUUGCAAAGUGGCUGCAUCAUCUUACAAUCUCACCAGUCCCAACAAACGAAAGCAAAAUGGAGUCCCACAUGCUAAGUGCCACAUGAUUAAACUGAAAUUUUAAGAAAGCAGGUAAAUUUCCAAACAGACCAGAUAUUUUUGAAAACAGAAGAGUCACAGAAACCAAUUGGAAAGGGCCUAGUCAACCUGAGUCAGUAUAAUAAGGUAAUCUCCACUGUUUUAACCCUUAUAAGAAAAGUAACCUGAAGUAAACUGAUGUUAACUGAUCUGCCUUUUUCUAUUAUUCUGUUUCCUUGUUCCCAUUUUACAAAAACCAACUGUUCUGCCAUGCCCAGUGGAGCACUCACUCUAUUUAUAGAAUAAAAUACUGCUGAAUUCUAGAAUCACAAAUAGAAGCCAAUUAGAUCUUAAAACUAAAUUUGUUAUAAUUUUGCCUUGUGACAAUAUGUAUAUCAAAACAUCACGUUAGGUAUUGUCUUAGUCUGUUUUCUGUUGCUAUAACAGAAUACCACAAACAGUAAUUUACAUAGAAAGAAGUUGAUUUGGCUCACAGUUCUGGAGACUGGGAAGUCCAAGAGUAUGGCACCAGCAUCUGGUGAGGGUCCUUCAUGGUGAAAGGGUGGAAGGUGGAAGUGAGCACUAGAGACAGAGAGCAAAUGGAGGCUGAACUUAUCCUUUCAUCAGGAGCCCACUCAUGGGGCUCUGCCCUCAUGACCUAAUCACCUCUUAAAGGGCCCACCUCCCAAUACCAUUACAUCGGCAAUUAAAUUUCCACACGAGUUUUGAAGGGGGCAUUCAAAUCAUAUCAAGAAAAAAAAAAAAAAAAAGAGUCAAGUCCCCUAGGCUUCUCUUCUAGGUAGAUUCCUGCUUCAGUCCCUUCCUAUAUAGAAACUCUGGAGUUUCCCCUACCUCAUACUCUUGCCUGUUUUCCAAGGCUCCAAGAGAAAAAGAAUAUCCUCUUUGCUUCUGAAAAAAACACUAGAGUUUAUUGGUCAGCACCAAGUGUGUUUAACUUUAAUUUCAGAUGGCAACUCGCACACAGAUGUGUUUAUGUUGCCCUUUAUCAGUAUUAUCACUGGCAAAGCCUUUGGUAAGCAACAGGAGAAGUGGCUGAACAGAAUAAUUCCAGGCUUGAAGUUCCUUUUUCAUCUGGUUCCCUGUGGGAAAAGGCCAUGAAAGCUAAGGGUGGUGGCCAAGUCCUGAAGGCCAAGGUCACCGUCAAACAUUUUCUGAGAAUCUACCAAAAGGUCUGUAUUAGGUCAAUAUGCGCGCAGUUGUGCUUGGAAGGAAUGAAGCUUUCAAAUAUGAGAACUCUACCUGAAAAAUCCUUGCCAUCAGUUCUUUGAAAUGAAACUCUAAGCUGAGAAGAACUCUCUGCUUAGGGGAAGUAGGACUAAAACUUGACUUUUGAUUUGGAGAACAUUCAAAAGACUCUAAGUUCAUGAGUGCUCAAUUUGUAAUUUUUUGCCCUUGAAAAAAAUAUAAGCAGGUGCAGUGGCUUACGCCUGUAAUCCCAGCACUUUGGGAGGCUGAGGUGAGUGGAUCACUUGAGCCCAGGAAUUCAGGAUCAGCCUGGACAACAUGGCAAAACCCCAUCUCCACUAAAAGUACAAAAAUUAGCCAGGUGUGGUGGUACGUUCCUGCAUGCCAGCUCUGGGGAGGAUUGAUUGAGCCUGGGAGGUUGAGCCUGCAGUGAUCCAUGAUGGCACCACUGUACUCCAGCCUGGGCAACACCAAAACCCUAUCUCAGGAACAACAACCACAACAAAGAAGCAACAAAAGGAAAUUUGUAUUUUUAGCCAUAGAGCCUUGAAGUUUGUUAUUACCACCAGGGAGAAAAUCCUUCAUUUCUACUUCAUUCCUGAAAUGGGUUAAUCACUGAUUAUACAUAGAAAAUCAACUCAAAAGAAAAAAAAAACACACAAAAACACCAGAUUUUACCUUUAAAUAUAUUUUGCACUCUGCAUACAACAGCAAGAAUGCUUUUCCUAAAAAUUCUUUUUGCUUAAGUCCCUUUUUUGCUUAAGUCUCUUUUCCUAAAUAUCUUUUUUGCUUCAGUCCCUUUUUUGCUUAAGUCUCUUUUCCUAAAUAUCUUUUUGCUUAAGUCCCUUUGUUGCUGCCGACAUCAUUUGAUUUCACACAGUUAUUAUAAGCCUUCAUUAUCCUGUUUCUCCUCCUCCUCUGAAUCCUCCUCUCCAACAGCAGGAUUUCUAUUUCCUUUCUUAGCCAACUAGCUGUGUGGCUAAGAUUAAGUCACUGGAGUCUCACUGUCUCUUUGUCUGUAAAAUUAUGAUUUUGGAGUAAGCAGAGUCCUGGCCUGCUAUGGGGUGUAUCAGAGUCAGGGUGAAAGGGUCUUAAGGUAUUUGAAAAUAAAGCAGCAGAUAAGCUUGACAUGGAGAGUAGCCUGCCUCUGGCUCUGUCUUCUGCAUUUCCUUAGGAGUGAAAAGCCCUGGUGAGCAAGCAGAUUCAGUGCUAAGGUUGUAGCCAAUGAUCAAAGGAAGAAAUACGUAUCUGUUUUUUUUUUUUCCUGAGACGGAGUCUCGCACUGUCGCCCAGGCUGGGAGUGUGCAUGCAUGUCGGCCU